UACAGAGGGCUCAAGCGUUGUUCGGAUUCAUUGGGCGUAAAGGGUGCGUAGGCGGCGCUGUAAGUCGGGCGUGAAAUUUCGGAGCUUAACUCCGAAACUGCAUUCGAUACUGCGUUGCUUGAGGACUGGAGAGGAGACUGGAAUUCAUGGUGUAGCAGUGAAAUGCGUAGAGAUCAUGAGGAAGACCAGUGGCGAAGGCAGGUCUCUGGGCUGACACUGACGCUCAUGCACGAAAGCGUGGGGAGCAAACAGG
This 253-nucleotide ribosomal RNA is filed under the name uncultured bacterium. RNAcentral's name for it is "partial 16S ribosomal RNA". It matches the Rfam family "Bacterial small subunit ribosomal RNA", at positions 524 to 776 of the family's 1533-position model. The record is from RNAcentral.